UUUCUUCCACUCAAGAAGCUCAAGAACAACAUGUCUCAAUCCCAACACAAAAAUUAAGAUCCAUCAAAAUUCAACCGUAGGAAUUUGAAAAUGAUUUAAGAUUCGAAAUCCCCAUUGCGAGAGCUACAAGGAGCACCCAUUAAUCUUACGUAUAGAGUUUCAGAAUCAAGAGUCAUCCAAAUUCAUAAACUUGAGGUAUGCAAGUGUUGAUUCUUGGGUUCCUUCCACUCAAGAAGCUCAAGAACCUUUUUUCCUAAAUUCAAAGAUUGUGUUUUUAUUAGUUUUUAUGAUUCAUAUGGUUUGAAAUUGAAGCUCUUGAUGUUGCUGAAAUUAAAUUCAUAUGUUGAUGACAAAGACUCAAGUUUAGACCCUAGUAUGUGUUGAUCUUGUUGUGUUCAUGAUAAAGCCUUUUCAAGAAGCAUGUUGAAUUAUGUAAUUAUGUUAAUUAGUGUGAUGUUGUUAUAUACUAAUUGAUGGGAGAAAUAAUCAUAUUUACCAUUUUUGUUGAAUCAUGAUCAUAUCAUGUUGAAAUCUUUGUGUGAUGAAUUGGUUGAUGGAGUUAUGACAUUUAGAAGUAGUAAUUAUUGAAUAACUAAAGCAUGCUCCCUACAUGUUUGAUAAAAUGCUUAUAUUAUGAAAAUAUUACCAUUGUAGCAUGUUAAGUAUGAAUGUCAUGUUGAGUUCUUGAACUACAAGAUUGAGGUAGAAUUCAUGAUUAGGUUUAACUGUAAUUAUGAUUAAAGGUUGAUGGAAUAUCUAAUCCAUGAUAAAGUGUAAGAUUUAUAUGAAAUUAUUGAGUAUAUGUAUAGUAAUAUAUUAAUUCAUAUUAGAGCCUUGACAUCAUAAAUUUGAUGUUGGAGUAUUUGAAGGGAAAAUUAAUUAGUUGUGGUAUGAUUUAUGUAACUACAAGUUGGAUGAAGAAUCCAUGAGUGGAUUUAAGUAUAUUCAUGAUUAUAUUGUUGAUUGGGUUUAUAACCCAUGACUAAGUGCAUGAUUUAUGUGAAAUUCAUAAGUAUUAUGUAUGUAGUAUUAUGUGAAUUCAUAUUAGAGCCUUGAGAUGGUGAACUUGGUAUUGGAAUUGUGCUACUCAAGUAUUGAUUUGCAUUAUGAUUAAAUAUUAUGUCUUCCAAGUAUUUGAUGAAUGGUUUGUGUGAAUAAAAUAAGAAAAAUUAUAUCAUAUAAGUAUGUAUAUUAAAUUCAUGCCAUCCAAUAUGUAUUAAUUCAUGUCAUCCAAGUGUUUGAUAAAAUGCUUAAGUGAACAAAAUAGAGUCAUUAUAAUAUGUUGACAAGAAAUUUCCAAGUUAUGUAUAAGUUCAUUCCAAGUGUGGUUGAAAAUCUUUAGUAAAUGAGCUAUGGUAUGUUGUGUGAAAAUUCUAUCCAUGUGCAUUCCUUGUUGAAUGAAUUAUGAGGCAUUAGUAUGAAUCCUUACAUACCUUUAUGAUUAAGAUUUCCAAGUGUUUGAAGAAUAUUAUCCAUUCUUGAUCAUGAUUUGGGUUUAGUUUAUGACUUCCAAGUACUUGACAGAGUAUCUUAUUGAUUUUGUUGCGAGAAAUGGACUGUUGUUAUGUUAUGCAAGUAUUGAUGUACUGUAUUUAAUUAUGCUAUCGAGUCCUGGGGGUAUUUAUGAUCGAAAUUAGCCUACUUGUCUAGAGCCGAGUCAAUUUCAAGAUAAUCUCAAUCAAGCCACGAUCAGUAAGUUUCAGUUAGUUACAGAACUCAGGAAAACUCAGUAGAUUUAGAAAAGCAGUCUCAGAUAGUAUUCAGAUUAAGAAACUCAAAAUCUUAAGUAUCAAUCUAGUCCAUUUUAGAUCUCUAUAGUAUUUCAGUAUUCAGUUAUAGAAUUUAAUAAACUAAGUGAGAUAACAGAACCCAGUAGUAUUCAGCCAGUUAUCAGAUAUUCUGUAGUAUUUUGUCAGAUAACAAAAACAAGUGAACUCAGUCAAAUCAGCUCAAUAAUAUACUCAGUAACAAGAUUCAGCUCAGUGUAAUUUCAGUUAAGAAUCAGUUCAGAGUCUUUUAGCUGGGAGUAGGAUUCAGCACCGAGUGAGCUCGAGGAUGGGAGCUCACCUACUAGUAGAAGGUAUGAUUCUUAGAAGCAAUCUUUGCUCUCUAGAACUACGUAGCCAGCGCAGGUUGAGAUAUCAUACCUGAUAGUUGAGGGUAGAUGAGAUGGCUUGACCUGUUAGAUGAGAGCUCCACCAUUCUCGCUUGAGUACCUGAUAGAAGAGGGUAAUGCAAAGUUGUCUUUACCAGUGGCACGGUAUUGACACCCUUUCAACUGGGGCACAGGUUAGACCCCGACUUAGCUAAGUGGGGCAUAUCGAUUAGAUGAUAAAGACUCAAGUUUAGACCCUAGUAUAUGUUGAUCUUAUUGUGUUCAUGAUAAAGCCUUUUCAAGAAGCAUGUUGAAUUAUGUAAUUAUGUUAAUUAGUGUGAUGUUGUUAUAUACUAAUUGACGUGGGAAAUAAUCAUAGUUUCUUUUUUUUUUAAUCAUGAUCAUAUCAUGUUGAAAUCUUUGUGUGAUGAAUUGGUUGAUGGAGUUAUGACAUUUAGAAGUAGUAAUUAUUGAAUAACUAAAGCAUGCUCCCUACAUGUUUGAUAAAAUACUUAUAUUAAGAAAAUAUUACCAUUGUAGCAUGUUAAGUAUGAAUGUCAUGUUGAGUUCUUGAACUACAAGAUUGAGGUAGAAUUCAUGAUUAGGUUUAACUGUAAUUAUGAUUAAAGGUUGAUGGAAUAUCUAAUCCAUGAUAAAGUGUAAGAUUUAUAUGAAAUUAUUGAGUAUAUGUAUAGUAAUAUAUUAAUUCAUAUUAGAGCCUUGACAUCAUAAAUUUGAUGUUGGAGUAUUUGAAGGGAAAAUUAAUUAGUUGUGGUAUGAUUUAUGUAACUACAAGUUGGAUGAAGAAUCCAUGAGUGGAUUUAAGUAUAUUCAUGAUUAUAUUGUUGAUUGGGUUUAUAACCCAUGACUAAGUGCAUGAUUUAUGUAAAAUUCAUAAGUAUUAUGUAUGUAGUACUAUGUGAAUUCAUAUUAGAGCCUUGAGAUGGUGAACUUGGUGUUGGAAUUGUGUUACUCAAGUAUUAAUUUGCAUUAUGAUUAAAUAUUAUGUCUUCCAAGUAUUUGAUGAAUGGUUUGUGUGAAUAAAAUAAGAAAAAUUAUAUCAUAUAAGUAUGUAUAUUAAAUUCAUGCCAUCCAAUAUGUAUUAAUUCAUGUCAUCCAAGUGUUUGAUAAAAUGCUUAAGUGAAGAAAAUAGAGUCAUUAUAAUAUGUGACAAGAAAUUCCCCAGCUAUGUAUAAGUUCAUGCCAAGUGUGGUUGAAAAUCUCUAGUAAAUGAGUUAUGGUAAGUUGUGUGAAAAUCCUAUCCAUGUGCAUUCCUUGUUGAAUGAAUUAUGAGGCAUUAGUAUGAAUCCUUACAAACCUUUAUGAUUAAUAUUUCCAAGUGUUUGAAGAAUAUUAUGCAUUCUUGAUCAUGAUUUGGAUUUAUGACUUCCAAGUACUUGAAAGAGUAUCUUAUUGAUUUUGUUGUGAGAAAUGGACUAUUGUUAUGUUAUGCAAGUAUUGAUGUACGGUAUUUAAUUAGGCUAUCGAGUUCUGGGGGUAUUUAUACUCAAAAUUAGCCUGCUUGUCUAGAGCCGAGUUAAUUUUAAGAUAAUCUUAGUCAAGCCACGAUCAGUAAGUUUCAGUUAGUUACAGAACUUAAAAAAACUCAGUAUAUUGAGAAAAUCAGUCUCAGUAUAGUAUUCAGAUUAGGAAACUCAGAAUCUCAAGUAUCAAUCUAGUCCACUUUAGAUUUCUAUAGUAUUUUAGUAUUCAGUUAAAGAAUUCAGUAAACUCAAUGAGAUAACAGAACUCAGUUUUAUUCAAUCAGUUAUCAGAUAUUCUGUAGUAUUCAGUCAGAUAAUAGAACCAAGUGAACUCAGUCAAAUCAGCUCAGUAAUAUACCUAGUAACAAGAUUCAGCUCACUGUAAGUUCAGUUAAUAAUCAGUUUAGAGUCUUUCAGUUGGUAGUAGGAUUCAGCACUGACUGCGCUCGAGGAUGGGAACUCACCUACUAGUAGAAGGUGUGAUUCUUAGAAGCAAUUAUUGUGCUCCAGAACUAUGUAUCCAGCGUAGGUUGAGACAUCAUACCUGAUAGUUGAGGGUAGAUGAGGUAGCUUGACCUAUUACAUGAGGGCUUCACCAUUCUCGCUUAAGUACCUAAUAGAAGAGGGUAAUGCAAAGUUGUCUUUACCAGUGGCGCGAUACUGCAAAGUAUCUAGGCGGGGUAUGUCGGUUAGAUGACUAUUCACGCAGUCUCAGCUUCAGAAUCAGUCUCAGACUUCAAGAAGGAGCUCAGUUCAGUGUAUAGAAUUCAAGGAUGUUAGAAACAGUCCAUCAAGUAUGAUUAUUUGCAAAUUCAAAGAUCCGCUGAUAGAUAGGUCGAUCUCAAAAUUAGUUAUCAAGUAGUAUUAUUAUUCACAGAUUCAAAGAUAACCUGUUAGGAGGGUUUAUCUCAAAUUCAGUCAAUUAUUCUUAUUAUUAGUAGAUUCGGAGACAACCUGUUAGAUAGGGUUGCUACAAGUUUUAAAAGCUUUAGAUACUGGUAAUCUAAGUAUGUUUAGAAAUUUUAGUAUAUUCAAUAUCAGUUACCAGAGUUAGUCUGAAUAUACUCAGUGACAGUAUGCGCAGUAUGUCCCGUAAUUAUAGAUUCUUUAUGUAUGCUAAUCCAUCUCUUGCAUAUUAUUUAGUUAAGUUAUGUUCAUGCAUAAGUCCUUGUAUUUUGCCUUACCUCAUUUGCAUACUCGGUACAUUCCAACAUACUGACGCAUUUGUGUUAUGGUUCUGUAAUUUUAUUUGACACUAUAGAUUUAGAGACAUGAGUUCUAGAUCAGCAGUGGCAGUUCAGUACCCAGCAGGGAGUCCUCAUAUUCCGAGGAUGGAUUAUUAUUUCAGCACAUUAUUAUAUUUAGUUUAUCUUAUUAGACAGAGUUAGUUAGGGACAUGCCCAUCAACUCCACAGUUUAGACAGUUAGAGACUUUUUGGAUAGUUGUAUAAGUAUUCAGUUUGCAGAAUUAUGUAUUUUAGAUAUUUUGAACCUUAUGGCAAGUUUCCACCAUUUUUCUGUAUGUAUUCUAUUAUAUUAUGUAGUGAAUAGGUACAGAUAUCAGAAGAGGGUUAGCUUAAGGUCCUUUGGGAUCAUAAGCACCGUGUGACGUUCUGAUUAUAGAAAAUUAGGGCAUUACAAGAAGCUACAAGACAUUUUAAGAAUAAAUUUCCCUUCUUUAAAUAGUCAUGUUUGCUAUUGAGAAUGAUCUCAACUUAAACUCUUUUUCAAAUUCAAACUUCCUUUCAUUUACAGAACAUACGUCCCAGAUAGACUAAUGGAAGAAGAAAUGGAAACCAGCUAGUACCUUUGACCUUUUAGGAAGAUCCUGUGAAUGAGCACGUGUCGCAUGCCAAGUUCAGGGAUGAAUUCAUUACACUUGUCACUCUAUAGUAACUUAAAACAAUCAUAUAGCUUUUAUUCCAUCCAACCCAAUGGCUAAUACUACCACUGCCAGGAUUUGGGACUUCACCUGAAUGAAUCCUCUAUCAUUUUUAGGAUCCAAGUCUGACGAGGAUCUACAGGAAUUCUUUGACAUAAUUCAAAAAGUAACAGAUAUUAUGGGUGUGACUUCUAAUGAAAGUGUUUAAUUAGAUACUUACCAAUUCUAGGAUGUAUCUCUUACCUGGUUUAAGUAGUGAAAAAAGGAUAAAGGUGCCGAUAUAGGGCCUAUAGAGUGGGAGGAGUUUGAUAUAGCCUUCUUAGAUAGAUUCAUCCCUUUGGAGAUAAAGAAAGCUAAGGUGAUUGAGUUUAUUCACUUGAAAUAGGGAAACAUGAGUAUGAAAAAGUAUUCUCUUAAGUUUACUCAGCUAGUUAGGUAUACUCCUUAUGUAAUGGCUAAUAACAGGUCAAGGAUGAGAAAGUUUAUAUUAGUGGUAUCUGAUAGUGUAGUCAAGGAGUGUAGGACGACAAUAUUAAUUAAAGAUACAAACUUUUAUAGGUUGAUGGUACAUGCUCAACAGAUUGAAGAGGAGAAGGCUAAAAAGAGAGAGAGAGGGAGAUAAAAAUGGCUAGAACAGGUAGCUUUAAUUUUACUUAGCUAAGGUCAGAGGGUGGUAACCAUUCUCAAUUUCAUUCAAAAUCUUUAGUUCCAGCUCCGUCUUCACCUACUGCACCAGUGCCUAAAUUUAUGAAUGAUAAUCGGGAUAGGGCGCUAGGCACUAAGUCCCAAGACAGUAUAAACAGUGGUUGUGCAAAUCCACUCUGCCAAAAAUAAGGUAAAAACUAUUAGAAAGAAUGUAGGUCUAUAAGUGAUCUGUGUUUUGGGUGUGGAAAGCCAGGCCAUAUGAUUUGGGAGUGUCUAGUGGUGGCUCAAAAGGAUAGGGAUAUGCGCUAUUAGGGCCAGUCUCAUUUGUUAUCAGCACUAGCAGGUCGCCCGACUCAGUAGGGUGCCACCUUCAGUGCUACCAACGAUCAGUGUUCGAAUAGGCUUUAUGAAAUUCAGAACUGAUAGGAUCAGCAAAGUUCUCCUGAUUUGGUUACCAAUAUGUUACAGGUCUUUCAUUUACAUAUUUAUGCUUUGCUAGAUCCUGGAGCUUCCCUUUAUUUUGUAACGCCUUAUAUAGCUGUCAACUUUACAGUCAAUCCUAAAAUCUUAAUAGAACCUUUCUCAGUAUCUACCCUAGUGGGUAAGUCUAUCAUAGCCUGGUGGGUAUACAGGAAAUGCCCAGCUACAGUGUUUCAGAAAGUUAUAUCAGUAGACCUUGUAUUACUAGAGAUGGUGGAUUUUGACAUCAUUCUCAACACGGAUUGGCUCCACUAAUGAUAUUCUUUAGUUUAUUGUAGAAAAAAUCAUUCUAUUUCAAUUUUCUAAAUGAACCAGUCCUUGAAUGGAGGGGUAGUAAUACAACGCUUAGGGGUCAGCUUGUUUCGUACCUUAGAGUGAGGAAAACGAUAUCCAAGGGGUGUGUCUACCAUCUUGUACGAGUCAAAGACUAUAGUUCUGAAACUCCCAACCUUAAGUUGGUGUCUGUAGUAAGUGAAUUUCAUGAUGUGUUCUCUAAAGACUUUUCCGAAGUUUCUCCAAUAAGGGAAAUUGACUUUGGAAUAGACCUUCUUCCAGAUACCCAACCUAUCUCUAUUCUACUAUACCGAAUGGCUUCAUCCGAACUUAAGAAAUUGAAAGAACAGUUGAAAGGCCUCUUAGAGAAGGGAUUCAUUAGUCCUAGUGUUUCCCCAUGGGGCAUUCCAAUCCUUUUCAUGUAUAAGAAAGACGGUUUUCUCAGAAUGUGAAUUAAUUAUCGUCAGUUGAACAAAGACACCAUUAAGAAAAACUAUCCACUCCCCAGAAUUGAUGACUUAUUUGACCAACUUCAGGGUGCCAGUUACUACUCUAAGAUAGACCUCAGAUCCAUCUAUAAUCAGCUCAGAGUCAGAGAAUGUGACAUUUUGAAAAAAGCUUUCAAAACUCGAUAUGGUCACUCCAAAUUCCUUCUCAUGUCUUUUGGUAUUACCAUAGUUCCAGCAGCUUUCAUGGACUUAAUGAAUAGGGUGUUCAAGUAGUACUUGGAUAUGUUUGUCAUAGUAUUCAUUGAUGAUAUUCUUAUUUAUUCCCAUGAGAAAAAUGAUCAUGCAAACCACCUCAGAAUAGUAUUACAGACUCUUACAGCCCAUCAGAUUUUUGCCAAAUCCAAUAAGUGAAAAUUUUGGCUAAGAUCAGUAGCUUUUCUUGGCCAUAUUGUUUCCGGUGAUGGCAUAAGAGUUGACCCUCAAAUGAUUGAAGCAAUGUGAAACUGGCCCAGACCCAUUUCUCCAUCAAAUAUCAAGAUUUUCUUGGGUUUCGAUAGCUAUUAUAGAUAUUUUGUUGAAGUGUUUUCAUAUAUUGCAUCCCCCAUGUCCAGAUUGACCUAAAAGAAAAUCAAAUUUCAGUGGUCAGAUUUCUGUGAGAACAAUUUUUAGAAAUUAAACACUCAACUCUCCUCAGCCAUAGUUCUGACAUUCCUUGGUGGUUCAGAUAGGUUUUUCAUCUACUAUGAUGCUUCUAGAGUUGGUUUGGGUUACGUGUUGAUGCAUAGAGGUAAGGUCAUAGCCUACGUCUCUAGACAACUUAAUCUACAUGAAAAGAAUUAUCCUACACAUGAUCUCAAGUUAGGAGCUAUUGUUUUUGCUUUGAAAAUUUAGAGUUAUUAUCUGUGUGGGGUGCAUGUUGAUGUGUUCACGAAUCACAAAAGUUUGCAGUAUGUAUUUUUGCAGAAAGAGUUGAAUCUCCGUCAAAGAAGGUGGUUAGUGUUGUUGAAAGACUACAAUAUGAGUGUUUUGUAUUAUUAAGGCAUGACCAAUAUGGUGGAGGAUGCCCUUAGUAGAUUUCUAUGUGUAAGAUCCCACAAAAUCCUAAGCUUAAUUCAGUCCUUUAGGCUUGUCAAGUGGUCCCAGACUUAGAAUAUUUUAUCUAAGUACUCAGACUUAGUGUCAUUUUAACCUAUGAAGGUUGGAAAUCUUAUUUCGUGACCUUUACAUUCAUUAAAUAUUGAUGUUUAGGUUAAUUCAUGAUCAAGAAUGUCCGUAGGUGUUUUCGAACAAGUUUCGGAUGUUUGGGACUUCGUUUGAAGCCCCUUUGGAAACUUAAAAUAGUGGAUCAAUGUGAUCUUGGCGCACCUCAUCGACUAUCGUGUUGAUUAAUAUUUUCCCCAACUACUAGCAUCCAAUUCUACUGAAUCAAUGCGAACAUGGAGCAAUGCAUUGGCUAUCGCGUUGAUGCCAUCGAUGUGCCGCAUCAACCUGUGCAUUAGUAACCCAUUAUUUAGUAUUUUAAAAGAAUGCGUUCUUGGAGGUAUUUAGGUCCUUUUCCCUCGACCCUCAGCCCCCAAAACAUGUAAUAAAACUUCUUAUAGAGAAAAUAUAGUUAUUCAUUCUCCAAUUAGCUCAAGAACAAAAUACUAGAUGCUUAAAUUUCAAAUCAAGAACUCAAGAUUCAACCAUAAACUUUCAGAAAUUCAUCAACACAGGUAUGUGAAGUUUUCAUCCAAGGUUUCCUUCCACCCUUGGAGCCUAAGAAUCUCUUAAACCUCAAGUAAUUGAUUUUAUGAUUUCCAUGGUUGGAAUUAAAGUGUAUCCAUGAUUGUUAUUCAUGGUUAGAAUUAAAGUGUAUCCAUGAUUGCUUUUUAGAUUAAGUUCCUAAUUCAUGAUUUUAUAUAUAUAUAUCAUGUGAAAUUAAUCAUUAUAUGUGUUGAUUCAUGUGAAUCCAUGAAAAACCCUUGACUUGUGAAAUUAGAGAUGAAUUAUGAUUCUCACUUGUUGUUUAAUACUAUGUGCAUAUUCUAUGCUCACCAUGUGCUUGAUAAAGUGUCCAUGUGAGCUAUUAAGAGAAUGAAAUCCUAUCAAGUUAGCUUAUUGCAAGUUAUAUCAUGUGUUUGUUAAAAUGCCCCAAUAUAUGAAUGAUGAUUAAGUUCAUAGUUUACAUGUUUCAUGUUAUGCCGUGUCUCUUAAUUUAUGCUAUCGAGUACUGGGAGUACUUGUACCCAACAAUUUAGCUGAUUACCUAGAGCCAUGGUCAGUCAUACAACAGUAUCAAUCACGACACGAUCAGUAGUACUCAGUUAGUUAUAGAAAUCUGAAAAGCUCAGUAGAAUCCAUAUUAGUCCAGUCUAAUUCAGUAUCUAGUUCAGACCUCAGCAAACUCAGUCGGCUAAUACAAUUCAGUAGUAUUCCACCAGUUAAUGGAACAUAUAAACUUAAUUUAGUUUAGCUAAACAUCAAUCUUAGUAACCGUUCAGUCCAGCAUAGUAAAGACUAAAAAUUAGUUCAGUGUCUAUUCAGUUGGGAGUAGGAUUUACUAUCAAGUUAAUCCAUGGAUGGGGGAAUUCCUGUCAGCAGAGGGUUUGACCCUUAGUAGCAAUCUUGCGUUACAGAACUAUGUAGCUAGCAUAGGUUAAGGUAUCUUCCUGCCAGACAUUAUGAGGGUUGAUACUUCUCAUCUAAGUAAUUUUGUCAGCGAGGGUUGACGAAAGUGCUUCCUGUCAGAGACUCACAGCUUGUCCUUACUAGUGGCAUGGUAUUGACACCUUCCAACUGGAGUUACAGGUUUUACCCUAAAUCAACUAGAGAAUGGGCAUGUCCGUUAGAUGAUUACCUCCUAUAGUCUCAGUUCCAUUCUCAGUCUCACUAUAGAACUCAGUUCAGUUCUACAGAUUUAGGACUAUCAGACAUAGUCACUCAUAUCAGUGCAAAACUCAUUAUGGUUCCACAGUACUCAAAACUGUUAGAUACAAUCAUUCAGAUAAUCAGUAACACGGUAUUCAUAAACCCAAAUAUUGGUUAUCAGUAUUCUGAUUUAGUACUCAGUAUUAGCACAUUUCAGUUACAGUCUAUGUGUUCAUGUAUGUACUCUUACUCGGUCAUACUCGUGUUAUUCAGUUAUUAUUGUUCAUGCACAUAAAACCAUUCAUAUCAGCCUACCUCACUGAGCACACCAGUAUAUUCAAAGUACUGACGUAUGUUUUUCUUUGCGCUAUGAUGCCUUAUAUCAUAGAUUCAGACGUAGGGGCCCUAGAGCACCCUUAGCAGUUCAGAUUAUCACCUUUUAUAGUAGUGGUGAGUCUUCAUAGUUUGAGCACAUGCUCAUUAUUUACAGUACUUUAGUCUUAUUUUAGUAGGGUGAGUUAGUUGGGGGUUCGUACCAUCAACUCCACAGUUCAGAUAGUUUGAGACUUUUUUAGACUAGAGUAUUUUCCGAUAGUUUUUCAAUUUUUCGGUACUUACAUUCAGUUUUGGUAAUUUGAUAUUGCAUUUAGAUUUAUUUAUAGAUUUUAACAUUAUGACAUAUGUUUCUUCCUAUUUCCGCUUAAUUACAGUAUUUAUUACUCAGUUAUUAUAGCAGGCACCGGUCAUGGGUUAGCUUAUGGUCCUUCGAGAUUAUGAGCAUUGUGUAGCAUCCGGAGUACAGACUUGGGGCAUUACAAACUUGGUAUCAGAGCCUAAGGUUCAACAGAGUCCUAGGAAGUCUGAAAGCCACAUCUAGUAGAGUAUUUUUCAUGGGUGUGUUGCACGCCACACUUAUGGACAAGAGGCUACGAGAUGUUUUAGGAAAAGUUUCCCCUCUUUCAGUAUUCAUGUCCUGAGAGUGAGUAUGAGCUCCAGUUACACUCUCUUUCUAAUCCUAGUUUCUCUUUCGUUUACAAAAUAUGCAUCCAAAAAGGACUCAGGGAAUAGGAAUGGGAGAUCAGUCAGCCCCUCAGCCCGUCCAUCCAGAUCCUUUAGGUGAGCAUGUCUCCUACAUGGAGUUCAAAGUAGCCUUCACCACUCUAUCUCAUUCAGUGGAAGGCCAGAGUGAACGUCCAACUACAGUUCCAUCUAACCUAAUGGCCAAUAUUGUUGUUUCCAGGAUUCGGGACUUCAACCAAAUGAACCCUCCAUCAUUUAUCGGGUCUAAGUCUGAUAAGAACCCUCAGGAAUUUCUUGAUUAAGUGCAGAAGUUUACCAAUAUCAUGGGGGUGACUAUUAUUGGGAGUGCUGAGUUGGCUGCACAUCAGUUACAGGAUGUGGCUCACUCAUGGUUCAAACAGUAGAAGGCAGAGAGGGCCGUAGAUACAGGGUCCAUAGAAUAGGAGGAGUUUGUAGUUGCUUUUCUGAAUAGGUUCUUCCCGCUAGAGUUAAGGGAAGUAAAGGUUUUAGAGUUUAUAAAUCUGAAGUAGGGCAAUAUGACAGUGCAAGAGUAUUCUCUUAAUUUUAUUCAAUUAGCUAGAUAUGCACUGCAUGAUAUAGUAGAUAGCAGCGUGAAGAUAAGUAAGUUCGUGUAAGGAGUGCGUAGCAGCUUCGUCAAGAAGUGUAGGGCCGUAAUGCUUAUUAAGGAGAUGGACAUAUCCAGACUCAUGGUCCAUGCUUAGCAGAUAGAAGAGGCCAAGAAUAAAGAGAAAGAGAGGGAGAAUAAAAGGGAGAGAAUAGGUAGUUUCAAUUUUACCUAGCCUAAGCUAGAGGGUCGGAAUCAUUCUCAAUUCUGCCCAAAAUUCUCAGUUCCAGCUCCUUCCUCAUCCAUUGCUCCAGUGAUAAAAUUUAGAGAUGGCAACUGAGAUAGGGCAUCAGGCCCUAAACCCCAGGGCAGUGUUAGCAGUGCCGGAACUAAUCCCCUUUUCUCGAAAUAUGGAAGAAACCACUCGGGUAUCUGCAAAGCUAGCAGUGAUGUAUGUUUCAAAUAUGGUAAGCCAGGAUACAGAGUCAGACAGUGUCCUCAGGUGGGUUCGUAGAGUCAUCAUAACCGUCCCCAGCUUAGUCCGAUCGCCCGAAUUAGCAGGGUACCUCUUCCAGUGCCACCAUAUGGUAGAUCCCAAAUAGACUCUAUGCUCUUCAGUCCUGACAGUAUUAGGAAAGUUCCCCUGAUGUGGUUACUAGUACAUUACAAGUUUCCAUUUGAAUUUUUAUGCUUUUUUAGAUCCAAGAGCUUCUUUGUCUUUUGUUACUCCAUAUAUAGCAGUUGAUUUCAGAGUCAGUCCCACAAUUUUAGCAGAGCCCUUCUCAGUUUCUACCCCAGCGGGUAAAUCUAUCAUAGCUCGGUGGGUAUACAGGAAUUUUUUAGUUAUGAUAUCUCAAAAAAUCAUUUCAACAGAUUUAGUCGAAUUAGUGAUGAUUGAUUUCAAUGUCAUUCUCGACAUGGAAUAGCUUCAUUCCUAUUAUGCCUCAGUCAACUGUAUAAAUAGUGUUGUCUAGUUUUAGUUUCCAAAUGAACCUGUUCUAGAGUGUAAAGGCAAUUCUUCAGCACUUAGGGGUCAACAUAUUUCUUACCUUUAGGCUAGAAAGAUGAUAUCUAAGGGAUGCGUCUAGCAUCUCAUUCGAGUAUAGGACUCUAGUUCAAAAACUCCUACUCUUGAAUCAGUAUCAGUAGUAUGUGAAUUCCUAGAUGUAUUUCUCGAAGAUCUUCCUAGAGUUCCUCCUGAAAGGGAAAUUGAUUUCGAAAUUGAUCUUCUCCCAGAUACUCAGCCUGUCUCUAUCUCGACAUAAAGAAUGGCUUUAGAAAAACUUAGAGAAUUAAUGGAAUAGUUAAAGGAUAUCUUAGAUAAGGGAUUCAUCAAAGCCAGUGUGUCCCUGUGGGGCCCACCAGUGUUAUUUGUGUAUAAGAAAGACAGUUCUCUCAGAAUGUGCAUAGAUUACCAUCAGUUAAACAAAUUUACGGUUAAGAACAAGUAUUCAUACCCCAAAAUCAAUGGCUUGUUUUACCAACUUCAGGGAACCAUUUAUUUUUCUAAGAUAGACUUGAAAUCAGGCUAUCAUCAGCUAAGAGUCUGGGAAAGUGACAUCCCAGAAAUCAUUAGUUAUUCACCAAAUUCAGUAAGUGCAAAUUUUGGCUGAGGUUAGUAGUAUGCCUUGGUCAUAAAAUUUCCAGUGAUGGCAUUAAAGUUUAUCCCAAAAACAUUGAAAUAGUGGGAAACUGGCCCAGGCCUAUCUCUCUACCGGAUAUCAAGAGUUUUUUGGGUUUGGCUGGCUAUUAUCGAUGGUUUGGUGAAGGAUUUUCAUCUAUUGUAUCCCCUAUGUCUAGAUUGACUCAGAAGAAAGUCAAGUUCCAGUGGUUAGAUUCUUAUGAAAAGAGUUAUUAGAAGUUCAAGACUCGACUCAUUACAGCUCCAAUUUUGAUCCUACCAGAUAAUUUAGAUGGUUUUGUUGUGUACUGUGAUGCUUCUAAAGUUGGAUUGGGUUAUGUUCUGAUACAAAGAGGUAAGGUCAUAGCCUAUGCCUCUAGACAUCUUAAUCCCUAUGAGAAAAACUAUCCUACUCAUGAUCUUAAGUUAGCAGCUGUAGUUUUUGGCUUAAAGAUUUGGAGCCAUUACUUGUAUGGUAUGCACGUUGAUGUGUUCACUAAUCAUAAGAGCCUGCAGUAACUGUUCUCUUAGAAAGACCUCAACCUCCAUCAGAGAAGGUGGUUGGAAUUUUUGAAAGACUAUGACAUGAGUGUUCUGUAUCAUCCGGCCAAGGGCUAUGUAGUGGCUGACGCUCUCAGAAGAAUUUCUAUAGGUAAUGUUGCCCAUGUUGAGAACAAUAAGAAGAAUUUAGCUCAGGAAGUUCAUCAGCUAGCCCGACUAGGUCUUCUCUUAGUCGAUUUAGCAGAAGGUAGUGUGUGGGUACAGAGUAGCUCAGAAUUAUCCCUAGUUUUUGAAGUAAAGAAAAAGCAGGAUAAGGAUCCCAGUCUAGUCAAGUUGAAGGAAUCAGUUAGAAAUCAGAAGGUAGAGGUUUUUCCCCAAGAGGGAUAUGGUAUUUUGCUUUGUCACGGUUGUCUAUGUGUGACAGGUAUAGAUGGCUUAAGGCAGUGAAUUCUUGUAGAAGCGCAUGGUGCACAUUCCUCUAUACAUCCAGGGGCCACGAAGAUGUACCGCGACUUGUUGGAGUUCUAUUGGUGGAGAGUGAUGAAAAGAGACAUUAAAAAUUUUGUGGCUAAGUGCUCAAUAUAUUAGCAGUUUAAGAUUGAGCAUCAGAAGCCUACUGGGUCCAUGCAGGAGUUCAGUAUUCCUACCUGGAAAUGGGAAAAAGUGAACAUGGAUUUCAUGAUAGUCUUACCUUGUACUCAUCGUCAGCAUGAUUUAGUUUGCAUUUUUAUAGAUAGGAUGACCAAAUCAUCUCAUUUCAUUCCAGUUUAUGCCUCUUACUCAGCUGAGGAUUAUGCCAAACUCUAUAUCAGGGAGUUGGUCAGAUGGCAUGGUGUUUUAUUUUCCAUUAUCUCUGAUGGAGGUGCCUAGUUCAUCUCUUAUUUCUGAAAAGAAUUCUAAAAGGGUCUUGGUACCCGAGUUCAUCUCAUUAUAACAUUUCAUCCUUAGAUAGAUGGUCAAGAAGAAAGGACCAUUCAGACCUUGAAAGAUAUGUUGCGAGCAUGUGAUAGGCAUAAAAGAUACUUGGGAUGACAACUUGUCUUUGAUUGAGUUUGCAUAUAACAAUAGCUAUCACUCUAGUAUUUAGAUUACUUUAUUUGAGGUACUUUAUAAGAGAAGGUGCAGAUCUCCCAUUAGUUGGUUUGAAGUGGGUGAGGUUGCAGUAGUAGGGCAUGACUUGGUGUUUGAUACCUUAGAGAAGGUCCAGUUGAUCAGGGAAAGCUUAAGAUAACUUAGAGCGGACAAAAUCAUAUUUAGAUGUAUGCAGAAAGGAUCUUGAGUUCAAGAUUGGUGACUAUAUGUACAUGAAGAUCUCUCCUAUGAAAGGAGUGAAGCAUUUUGGAAAGAAAGGGAAACUCAGUCCCCGAUAUGUCGGUCCUUACCGAAUUCUCAAUAAUUUCAGAAAGGUAGCUUAUGAGCUUGAGUUACCUUCAGAUUUUUCUUUAGUUCAUCCAGUGUUUCAUGUCUCCUUGGUAAAGAAAUACAUAGGUGACCCAGCAGUCAUAGUCCCCAUUAAGAGCAUAGAUAUUCAGAACAGCCUCUGUCACGAAGAGAUCCUAAUCAAAAUCCUUUAGUAUCAGACUCGCAAACUAAGGAACAAAGAAGUUCCUCUUGUCAAAGUUCUUUGGCAGAAUCAGUCCAUUGAGGGAGAUACUUGGGAAACAGAAGUAUACAUGUGAACCAAGUAUCCUUAUCUAUUCUCCGCUAAUCCAGACUCAACUCAAGGUAAUAGUUUCCUUAAGCUUAAUCAAUUUCAUAAUCAGAUUUCAGUUAAAAAUGUGGUAGAAAUUCCCAUUGUAUGUUCAGUAUAUAGAUUCAGUUUAUCAGUAAUCCCCGUCAUGAAUUCAUAAAUCAUGUUCAGCUAUAUCCAUGCAUCCGAUAUGUAUGUUUAGUAUGAUAAUUUAGAAUACCAGUAAUAUCAGUCAUAUGGUCAUGUUCCAGAUGUUCAUGUCUAGUAAGUAAGUCAGCCUCUCAGUAUUCUCCAUCUCAAUAGUCUUAUUCGAGGAUGAAUAUUCCAAAGGGGGAUAUAAUGUAAGAUCCCACAAAUUCCUAAGCUUAAUUCAGUCCUUUAGGCUUGUCAAGGGGUCCCAGACAUAGAAUAUUUUACCUAAGUACUUAGAUUUAGAGUUAUUUUAACCUACGAAGGUUGGAAAUAUUAUUUCAUGGCAUUUACAUUCAUUAAAUGUUGAUGUUUAGGUUGAUUCAUGAUCAGGAAUGUCUGUAGGUGUUUCAAGACAAGUUUCAGAUUUUCUGAACUUCGUUUGAAGCCCCUUUGGAACCCUAAAAUAGUGGAUCAAUGCAAUCUUGGCGCACCGCGUCGACUAUCACGUUGAUUAAUAUUUUCCCCAUCUACCAGCAUCUAAUUCUAGUGACUCAACAUGAACAUGGCACGAUGUAUUGCCUAUCACAUCGAUGCCAUCGACGCAUUGCGUCGACCUGAGCGUCGGUAACCCAGUUUUCAUUCAAUUAAAAGAAUGCAUUCUUGGAGUUAUUUUAGUCUUUUUCCCUUGAUCCAUAUCCCCCAAAACACAAAAUUAAACUCCCUAUAGAGAAAAUAUAGUCAUUAAUUCUCCAAUUAGCUCAAGACCAAAACCCUAGGUGCUUAAAUUUCAAAUCAAGAACUCAAGAUUCAACCAUAAACUUUAAGAAAUUCUUCAACAUAGGUAUGUGAAGUGUUCAUCCAAGGGUUCCUUCCACCCUUGGCGUCGAAAAAUCUCUUUUAAACUUCAAGUAAUUGAUUUUAUGAUUUCCAUGGUUGGAAUUAAAGUGUACCCAUGAUUUCUAUUUGGAUUAAGUUCCUAAUUCAUGAUUUUAUAUAUAUAUAUAUAUAUAUCAUGUGAAAUUGUUCACUAUAUGUGUAGAUUGAUUUGAAUCUAUGACAAACUCGUGACUUGUGAAAUUAGAGAUGAAUUAUGAUGCACACUUGUUGUUCAAUACUAUGUGCAUAUUCUAUGCUCACCAAGUGGUUGAUAAAGUGUCCAUGUGAACUAUUAAGAGAAUGAAAUCUUGUCAAGUUAUCUUAUUUGCAAGUUAUAUCAUGUAAGUGUUUGUUAAAACGCCCUAAUGUAUGAAUGAUGAUCAAGUUCAUAGUUUACAUGUUUCAUGUUAUGGCAUGUCUCUUAAUUUAUGCUACAGAGUCCUAGGGGUACUUGUACCCGACAAUUUAGCUGAUUACCUAGAGUCAUGUUCAGUCCUAGAGUAGUAUCAAUCAUGACACAAUUAGUAGUACUCUCAGUCAGUUACAAAACUCAGGUAAACUUAGUAGAAUCCAUAUUAGUCCAGUCUAAUUCAGUAACUAGUUUAGAUCUCAGUAAACUCAUUCAGCUAACAUAAUUCAGUAGUAUUCUAUCAGUUAACAGAACACAGUGAACUCAGUUUAAUUCAACUAACCAACAACCUUAGUAACCGUUCAGUACAGACUUGAAAUCAGUUCAAUGUCUAUUCAGUUGAGAGUAGAAUUCAAAAUCGAGUUAACCCAAGGAUGGGGGCAUUCCUAUUAGCAGAGGGUUUGAACCUUAGUAGCAAUCCAUGCAUUACAGAACUACAUAAUCAGCAUAGGUUGACGUAUCUUUCUACCAGAAAUUAUGAGGGUUGAUACUUCUCAUUUGAGUUAUCUUGUCAGCGAAAGUUGACGAAAGAGCUUCCUGUCAAAUAGGGUUAACUCAUAACUUGUCCUUACCUAUGGCAUGGUAUUGACACCUUUCAAACUUGGGUUACACUUUGGACUCCAAAUCAACUAGAGAAGGUGUGUGUCAAUUAGAUAAUUACCUCCCACAGUCUCAGUUCUAGUCUUAGUCUCAGUAUAGAACUCAGUUUAGUUCUAAAGAUUCAGGACUAUCAGACAUGGUCACUCAGCUCAGUGCGGAACUUAGUAUGGUUACACGGUACUUAGAAAUUUCAAAUAUUGUAAUUUAGAUAAUCAUUAAUACACUAUUUGUAAACCCAUGUAUCGGUCAUCAGUAUUUCGAUUCAGUACUCAGUAUUAGCAUGAUCUCAAUUAUAGUCUAUGUGUUCAUGCAUGUACUCUUACUUAGUUAUACUCAUGUUAUUUAGUUAUUAUUUUUCAUGCAUAUGAACCCAUGCAUAUCAGCCUACCUCACUGAGCAUACCAGUACAUUCAAAGUACUGAUGUGUGCUUAUGUCUUAUAUCAUAUGUUCAAAUGCACGGGCCCUAUGGCACCCUUAGAAAUUUAGAUUCUCAACUUUCAUAGUAGAGGUAAGUCCUUAUAAUUUGAGGACAUGCUUAUUAUUUACAGUACUUCAAUCUUAUUUUAGUAGGAAUAGUUAGUUUGGGGAUUGUCCCAUCAACUUCAUAGUUCAGAUAGUUAGAGGGUUUUUCAGACUAGAGUAUUUUCAGAAAGUUGUUCAAUUUUUUAGUACUUAUAUUCAGUUUUGGUAUUUUGAUACCGCAUUUAGAUUUAUUUAUCUAUUUGAACCUUAUGGAAUAUGGCUCUGCCUAUUUCUGCAUAAUCACGGUAUUUAUUACUCAGUUAUUGCAGCAGGUAUCAAUCAUGGGUUAGCAUAUGGUCCUUCGAGAUUAUGAACACCAUAUAGUAUCCGAGAUACAGACUCGGGGCGUUACACUAUGGGUAGUGUGACAUAUUCUGAGGAUGAUAAGAAAAGGUUGGUUCAGGAGGUUCAUCAGCUUGCUAGAUUACGUGUUCGGUUGGUUAAUUCAGAUGAGGGUAGUGUUUGGGUUCAGAAUAGUUCGUAAUCUUUUUUGGUGGUCGAAGUAAAAAUAAAAGAAAGAUAGGUAUCCAGUCUAGUUAAGUUGAAGGAGUUAGUCAGAGAUCUGAAAGUGGAGGUUUUCUCCCAAGGGGGAGAUGGUGUAUUACAUUGUUAGGGGAGACUGUGUGUGCCAUAUGUUGAUGGUUUGAGAUAGAUACAUUAUUUCACUCACCCAGGAGCUACUAAGAUGUACCGUGACUUACGGGAAAUCUAUUGGUGAAGUGGUUUGAAAAGAGAUAUUACAAAGUUUGUAGCUAAGUGCUUUAAUUGCCAUUAGGUUACGAUUGAGCAUCAAAAGCCUAGUGGCACUAUGAAGGAGUUCAUCAUUCCCACUUGGAAGUGGGAAGAGGUAAACAUGGACUUUGUGAUGGGUUUACCCUGUACUCGUCCUCAACAUAAUUCUUUUUGGGUCAUUAUGGACAGGAUAACUAAAUCAACCUAAUUCUUGCUAGUCCAUACUUCUAUUUCAGUCGAGGACUAUGGAAAGCUCUACAUUAGAGAGUGAUUUAGUUUGCAUAGAGUUUCAUUAUCCUUUAUUUAUGAUAGAGGUACUCAGUUUACCUCUCAUUUUUGGAAGGCUUUUUAGAAGGGUUUUGGUAUCCAAGUUUCCCUUACUACAGCAUUUCACCCUUAGAUAGAUAGUUAGGGAGAGAGUAGUAUUCAGACCCUAGAGGAUAUGUUGAGAUCAUGUGUUAUCGAUUUUAAGGGUAGUUUGAAUAAUCACUUUCUAUUAAUUGUGUCCUCCCACAAUAACAACUAUCAUUCUAGUAUCCAUAUAGAUCCAUUUGAGGCUCUAUAGGAAAGGAGAUUUAGAUCUCUAAUUGGUUGCUUUGAGGUAGGUAAGACUGAUUUGCAUAGGGCCUAAUUUAGUAUAUGAUGCAUUAGAGAAAGUUCAGUUGAUUAGAAAGAGGCUUAAGACAGCCCAAAGCUGGCAAAAAUCUUAUGCAGAUGUAAGGAGAAAAGAUCUCGAAUGUGAGAUUAUUAAAUUUUUAUAUGUGAGAAUCUCUCCCAUUAAGGGAGUGAAUAUGUUAGACAAAAAGGGGAAGCUCAGUCCUCGGUAUAUUCGCCCUUAUAGGAUCUUUAACCGCUUUGGAAAAUUAAAUUAUGAGCUUGAUUUGUUUGUAGAUUUGGCUUCUGUACACCCUAUGUUCCAUGUUUCUUUACUGAAGAAGUGUAUUGGGGACCCAGCUAUUGUAGUUCCCUUAGAAAGCGUAGAUGUUCAGGAAAAUAUCUCUUAUGAGGAGUUUUUGGUGGAAAUCCUCAAGCGUCAAACUCGUAGACUAAGGAACAAAGAAGUUUCUCUAGUUAAAGUUCUUUGAAAAAAUCAGUCCGUUAAGGGAGCCACUUGGUAAUCAAAAGCAGAUAUGCGAACUAAGUACCCUCAUUUUUUCUCUAUGAACUCAGGCACAACAUAAGGUAAAAGUUUUUGUUUGAUUAUCUCUAUUCCAUUUUCAUUUCCAACUAUGUAAUCAGUCUCAUGUCAUUUCAUGCAUUCAUGAAUUAGUUCAGUCAUGUAAUCAUGUUUCAGUUAUGCAUGUUCAGUAUGUAAUAUUAGUCCCUCAGUAUUCUUAGUUUAAUUAAUCUCAUUUGAGGAUGAAUUUUCCUAAGGGGAUAUAUUGUAAUACCCCAUACUUUUAUAAGUUCAGUUUAACUCAUACUACUUGUAUUAGAGGCUCAGCACCUAAAGAUUUAGCUAAGUGUUAGGGACUUAGUUUAGAUUUUGGCUACAUAACCUUGAUGAUUUUUAAAGUAACCAUCCCGACCCCGAGACGUAGGUUUUGAGUUAUUAAUGUUUAGGUGUGUAAGUAGCAUGUCUCGGGUAAGUUUUGGAUUUUUUGGAUAAAGUUUGGACCACGUUUGGAUUUCCAAAAUAGUAGCUCACCGCAAUUAGACCACGUCGCAGCGAGUAUAGAGAUGGAGGGGUCACCGUGUUGCGGUGAAGAUCAAAUUGACAAUUUUCAGAUUCCAGCAAGUCAUGUGAUUUCACGGCAUCAUGGUGGAAAUCAAAAAAAUAGCACUGGCGUAUCGCGGUGAUGGUAAUAUUCGGGUUGCAGUUAUGAAUUUUAAUCUCCCAAGGGCAGUUUGGUCCUUUUCCAUGGCCCCAAUCUAUGAAAAACAUGAGAUUAAAGCAUAUUUGGUCAUCUUUUACUCAAACUCUCUCAAUUGAAAACCAUUCUCUAUGAGGAACAAACCCUGGCCCUUCAAAGAUUCAAGCUCUAGUUCAAGAAAACCACCAAUAACCUUCAAGAAUUAUUCAAUUAAGGUAUGUUAGAUGUUCAUUCAUGGAUUCCUUUCACCCAUGGAGUCCAAGAACCCAGUUUCAAGUUUAAAGGAAUGAAUUUUUCAUGCUAUCAUGAAUUUUAUCCAUGAAUUCCAUGAAUUUCAAUUUUGGCAUUUUGUUUAUGCAUAAAUUGUCAUUGAAGUUAAACUCUACACAUUAGAAUGAUGCUUUCCCGUCUGUUUGAACCUUAAAUUGUGAUUUCGUAUCAAAAUCAUGAUAUUACUAUGUUUUUAAGACUAUCCCCAUGUUUAAACCAUGGAUUGCAAGUAUUUGAUAAAAUACCCAAAGGAAUGAGUUCUGAAUAAUGACUAUUUAUCAUUUCCAUCAGGUUUUAGUACGGUCUUGUUGUUAUUGCUAUCUAUUAUUGGGGGUUUUGAAUACCCAAAAUUUAGCAUCUUACCUAGUCUUCAGUAUCUACAGAAUGGUUCAGGAUAGCUAUGAGAAUUGUCAGUUUAGUUAAUCACCAUAAAUAGAUAAACUUAGUUUAUACCAAUAUUCAAUGUCUUUCAGUUGGGAGUAGGAUUUAGCACUGAGUGAAUGUAGGGAUGACGACUUCCCUAUCAGUUAGGAAGAGUCAUUAGUAGUAGUUCCUGUAUUCCAAAACUACUCAGUCAGCGUAGGAUAUAAGGAGUCACCCGUUAGUUUAGGCUUGAUUACCUCUCAAAGGUCACUGGUCAGUUUAGGAUUGACACCUUGUUCAAUCGGGACAUCAGUUAGUGGAUCCACACAGACAGUAUUAGUACUUGUGGCAUGGUACUGACACCCUUCAAACUGGGGUUACAGGUUGGACCCUAAUAGUAUAUUGGGUUAUGUCAGUUAUAGUUAGCUCUCACAAUCUCAGUUCAAUAUUCAAUACAUAGUACAGUUUCAGAUUUGCUUGACCACAGAAUAUAGUUAUUGGUUAUUCAGUAUUAGUAUUUCAUUAAUUCAGUUUAUAGCUUAUUUUAGUAUUAUGUUAUAUGCUUGGUCAUGCAUCCUCAGAUUUUACAGUUUUCACGUACACUAUUGUAUCAGUCACCUCAUCUUAUUCAUUCAUUCAUGUAUUAUUCAUGUUCAUGAACCCAUGCAUAUUAGCCUAACCUUAUUUAGCAUAUCAGUACAUUUAAAGUACUGAUCACAUACUCAUUUGUUGUGCUAUGAUGUCUCAUAAUAUAGGUUCAGAUGCUUAGGUUCCCGACUGCACUUAGAUAUUCCAAUGCAUCAGUAGUGGCUGCAGUGGUUAGUUCUCAUAUUCUGAGGACUAAUGAUGUUUAUGUUAAUAUUUUUUUCAGUUCAACAGUCAGCUGUAGUUAGUUGGGGACUUAUCCCAUCAACUCUACAGUUAGUCAAUUUAGAGGCUUUCUGACUAGCACAGACUGAUAGUCAGUUUUCUGUCGUUAUUAUCAGUUGUUUUUACCAGUAUUGAUAGUAUGUUUCUGAUGUUCUAAAACCAUGAUCCAUUAUUGAUUUUCAGUUGUUAAAACCUUAUCACAUUUUUCAGUUAAGUUCCACACAUGUUCUUGUUAAUUUAUUCAGUGCUCACAGCAGGUACCUAUUCAUGGGUUAGCUUGUCGUCCUUCAGGGUUGUAAGCACUGUGUGGCAUUCAGGGUGUACUCUCGGGGCAUUACAAUUUACAGCUUUCAACUUGUAAUAGCGGAGAAGAAUUCCAAAAUUUCCACAACUCAAAAAAAGUCUCCACCGCUUUCAUAUUUCCCAACUCCCUCUAUAAUCUCUGUACAUUUCCCUAAUCAAUAAAAAGUUUAUUGUAAGUAUAAAUUUCUCUCUUUCUCUAUUGUUUUAAUUUAUUUUUCUUUACUUUUAUUUGUUCUUAUUUUGUUAUUUUAAUGCUUAAUUUGAAAGUUUAAAAUGCUUUCAAAGAUUAAAUUAAAUUAAACUUUAAAACAACAAAAUAAGAACAAAAUAAAUGUAAAGAAAAAUUAAUUUAAAUAGUUGAAAAAGAGAGAAAUUUAUACUUACAAAUUUUUUAUAUUGAUUUAGGAAAUAUACAAAGAUUAUAGAGGGGGUGGGAAAUAUGGAAGUGGUGUAGAGUUGUUCUGAGCUGUAGAAAUUUUGGAAUGUUUGUCCGCUAUUACAAGUUGAAAGCCUUAAAUAGGCCUCAAGAGUGCAGAUUAAUAUCUAACAAACACUCUUGUUUUUACAUUUGUUCAUACACUAAUAUAUGUUAUUUCUUUUACACUUGUCUAGUAGUUUGUAUAUCUACUCCAUAAAUGACUUUGAACAACAUGCUUUUUCUGAGAUGUCUCUUUUGAAUAUUUUGAAAAGAUUUUUGGCCUUUUCCUUUUAUUAACUUUUGUGCCAAAUGUAUUUGUCUUAUUGUGCUAUAAAGAUUUAUGCUUUUGCUAUUUUUUGUGCCCUUGUCCUUUUGUUACAUGAAGGUUUGUGUUGUUUUAUCCGGUAGUUUCAUGAUUUUUUGGGUACAUUAUGUGGGUCCACCUUAUUUUAUGUAUUAUCUUUUUAACUAUAGAAAAAGUGUUGGCUCUUCUUUAUCUUUAUUGAAGAGAUAUACUGAUGAUUCUCCAUGUCCCUAUUGCUGGCGCAGUAUCUAUUAACUUCAUUAUCUGCUUUGAAAGGUGGGAUUCUUUCUGCGAGGGAGAACCUGAUGUAGAUUCUUUCUCCAAAUGCAAAAUGCUCUUCUGGAUCCUUGUACUAUGUCCGUUUUGUAAGUUGGACACUUCUACUUACAUGUUUUUUAUCUGGACUCCUGAACCCAUUAAAAACCUAUAUUUUAAACCCUUUAACCAUUGACUUUGCCUAUGUUGCAUUAAAUGACUGAUUGGGACAAGAAAAGUGUAAUCACUGGCCUUGGGGUGCGAGUGGGGUCAAGUUUUGGCCAAUUUUUAUAUUAAAAUAACUAAAAAAGGGAAUAAAAUGUUUUUUCAAUUUUUUAAUUUAAAAAUAUUUUAAAAAAUUAAAAAAUAAUAAAUUUAAAUAUAAAAAAGAAAAAAAGCCCCCCCCCCCCCCAACCCCCUUUCCCCCUCCCGCCCACCCCCCCCCCCCACCCACCCGUAGUAAGAGAAAAUAGAAAGAAAGAAAAAAUAAGAGACCAACACUAUCAUUAAACACCAUGAAUGCAACAAAAUUAUCACCGUAACCCAUCAUCACUACCUUCAUUUCCAACCCUAUUUUCAACCUCACUAAACAACCCAAUAGAAAAUCUUCAUUACCCCAACAAAACUAACAACAACGACCCAAGAUUAGCUCCGACGGAAAACAAGAUUCGGGCGAUUCACAAACAGGUUGGGUCUCGUACUUUCAGUAAAUACUAUUAUUUUAUGAAAGAUAUGAUUUCAUUUAUAUCAUUUUGGAAUCAGAUUUCAAUUUCCAUUGCAUUCCAAUCAUCACUGUCUAAUUACCUCUUCAAAAACCAUAAUUUUGGAUCAUAAAAAAUCAUCAUCCUUAAAUCACUACAAAUUUGAAAAAGAAGGAUCACAUAUUCUUAUCCAACUCAACAUUUUCUAAUAAAAAAGAAGAAGAAGAAAUAGAGAAUUAAGAAGAAAGGAAGGAAAAAGGGAAGAGAGAAAGGAAUAAGAGAAGGGGAGAAUUAAGAAGAAAGAAAGAACAAACGGGUAGAGAGAGAAAUAAAAGAAGGGUGGGGUUGGAGUUUUUUAAUUUAUUUAUUUAUUAAUUAAUUAAUUUUAAUAUUUAAUAUUUUUUAUAAUUAAAAAUGACGUGGAAGAUGAUAUGGCAGAUGACAUAGCAGCUGACGUGGGCGAGUGUAUUACACUCAUCGAAAAAGUAUUUAAAAUAUUACUUUUUAAUGGAUUCAAGGGUCCAGACGACAAACAUGUAAGUGGAAGUGUCCAACUUACAAAAUGGACAUAGUACAAGCGUCUAGAAGAGCAUUUUGCCUAUUAGAAAACUAGAGAGUUUAUUUAUCUAAAAGAUACUGGUAGAUUUAAUGGAAUCUUAUAAUAUGUGUUAAUAUUGAUAGCUUCAAAAAGGUUUUUUUAACCCUGGUAUUUAAAGUUUUUAGUGCCAUAAUUUGACAAAUUUAUUAUUCUAAAUUAAUUUUUGUAAAAAAUAUUUUUUGGUAGAAAUAUUUUUAUUGAUAAGAACUUAUUUAAAUAGUAGUAACUAGUGAUGGAUACUUUUGUAGAGAUGGAAAUUGUACCAAUAUUGAAUAUAUUUUAAUAUUUAGGUUGAAAUGGAGGUGUCAACGAUUUUAUUUUUAUUAGUUCGGGCUCGCAGUAUUUCCCUGUAGAAAUUCUCUAGUCAAGAAAUCUGGGAGAGAAUUAUUUUCUCCCUUUAUAAAUUCUAUUUGAAAAGCAAAACUAUAUAAUAAAGCUUGCCAUCUUGCAAAUAUUUGCUUAGAAAUUAAAUUUUUAACAUCCUUUUGUAAAACAUCUUUGGCUUCUUUGCAAUCCACUCUUAGUAAAAAAUAUUUGUUUAUUAAAUCAUCUUGAAAUUUAGUAAUACAUAGCACUAUAGCAAAAAUUUCUUUGUUAAUAGUACUAUGUUUUUUUUUAGUAUCAUUUCAGAUUCACGACAUGAACCUUACUAAUUGUUCAAUAUAGUCUAUGGAAAUCCUUUGUUUAAGGAUUCCUCCAUAUACUAUGUCUGAGGCAUCGGUUUCUUAAAUUAUAAGAGCCUCUGGAUGCGGUAUCCCUAGACAUGAAAGUUUUUGAACUAUUGAUUUAAUUAAUAUAGUCUUGGAAAUCCUUUGUUUAAGGAUUCCUCCAUAUACUAUGUCUGAGGCAUCGGUUUCUUAAAUUAUAAGAGCCUCUGGAUGCGGUAUCCCUAGAUAUGAAAGUUUUUGAACUAUUGAUUUAAUUAUUUUAACUGCAUUAGUAUGCUCUAUUCCCCAAGGUACUGAAUUUUUUUAAGACGCUAAUAAAGUGACGCAACAUAGUUGAGACUUUCUAAGAAUCUUUGAAACUAGAUUUUAUCAGUUAAUUCAUCUGGAAACUUAGAGGAGAAUUUUAUGGCUCUACAGAUAGGUUUAUAGGUUUCUUGAUAUAAAUCAUAACCAAAAAAUCUAAUAGAGGUUUGGAAUAAUUUAAUCUUCUUAGCACUGACAACUAGUCCAUUUUGUUUGACAAUUUUGAAAAAGAUUUGGACAUGUUUAAAGUGUUGAUCAAUAUCCUCAGAAAAUACCAAAACAUCAUCUAUAUAAACUACAGAUAUAUGACUAUAUUGAUUGAAUAUAUUAUUUAUAAUAUUCUAAAAUUUAGGUGGAGCAUUUUUUAGUCCAAAAGGCAUUACAUUCCAUUCAUAUUGUGAAAAAAGUAACAUUGAAGGAUAUUUUAUAUUUAUCUUUUUCUGCAAUUUGUAUUUACCAAAAUCCUAAUUUCAUAUCAAACUUACCAUAAAUAUUAGUUUUAUAAGUCCUUUUAAGAAGGUCACGCUUGUUAGGUAUUGGGUACCUAAUUCAUUUUAAUGCUUUAUUAAGAGGCUUAUAAUUGAUAACAAGUCUCGGGGCAUCUCUUUUUUUUUCAGCACUAUUAUUGACAUAAAAGCCUGAACAACUACAAGGCGAUUUAGAAGUUCACAUAAUUUUUUUAUCUAAUAAAUUGUUAAUUUCAUUUUUACAGUACUUCAUUAAUUCAUGGUUCAUUUGAAUGGGUCUUGCUUAUUUUGAAAUUAUUCUUUCGUCAAAUCCCUCAAUAUAGGGUAAUUCAACAAUAUGCCUUUUUCUUUCCCAAAAGACAUUAGGAAAAUUCUAGCAAACCUCUCGCUUUAUUACUUCUUGUAGAUUUUUAAUCUUUGCUUCUACUUUCAUGAUUUUUAAAUAGGAUUCAAUUUUUUUUAUUUUUAUUUCGUUCUUUUUAAAAUUUCUCUGUUGCAAAAUUAAAUUCAUUUUAAAGACCGUUUUAUUUUUUAUAAGGUCACUUUCUUCUUUUGGUAAACUAUUUAGAUAAGAAAAAAUAAUCUUUUUCCCCAAAAUAGUGGUGUGGAUGCCAUCUAAUUUGGCAGUAUAAGGUUUUAUUUGAUUUAUAAAAGGUAGACCUAAAAUUAUUUCUUCAUUUAUAUUUUUUGUUAUUACAAAGUCAUUUAUGAAACAAAUUUCAUCAUUGUAGAUGUGUGCAUUGUGUAGUUUAUAAUUUAUUUUUAAUCUUUUGCCUAUUGUAGAGAAUAAUUUUGUAGUACCCUUUUCAAGGUUAU
This 26977-nucleotide long non-coding RNA is filed under the name Capsicum annuum. Its description in RNAcentral is "long non-coding RNA (CANN_LNC000825)". Lineage: Eukaryota; Viridiplantae; Streptophyta; Magnoliopsida; Solanales; Solanaceae. The record is from RNAcentral.